GGAAGCGUGUGUGGGAUGGCACAACUAAGCAUCGAUCGUUACAUAGAGAUACUAUCUUAUAGAUAGAUCACUAUGUGGCAGAUCUGCUCAGUUAGUGUUGUCAUAUCUUGAGCUUUCAGAUCAUCCGAUAAGCUUCUUGAUUUUAGACUCCCGAUUGCGCAUGCAACUUCGUUUUAAAAUCACGUAUUUGCACGCCUGCACGGUCGAGUCUUCCUCGUAGUACCGCGAUUUCCAAAUUUGGGGGGUAAUCGAUUUGGUCAGAGGUAAUUUGUCGCUUCCACAUGCAGGCACUGCUGAUGGCGGUACGCCAUCUUUUUUG
RNAcentral lists this small nuclear RNA (319 nucleotides) under Trachymyrmex cornetzi. Its description in RNAcentral is "Arthropod 7SK RNA". It matches the Rfam family "Arthropod 7SK RNA". Lineage: Eukaryota; Metazoa; Arthropoda; Insecta; Hymenoptera; Formicidae. The record is from Rfam by way of RNAcentral.